This 68-nucleotide transfer RNA is filed under the name Arvicanthis niloticus (Nile rat). RNAcentral describes it as "tRNA-Pro". The record is from RNAcentral. Lineage: Eukaryota; Metazoa; Chordata; Mammalia; Rodentia; Muridae.
CAAGGAGUAGUUUAAUUAGAACGUCAACUUUGGGUGUUGAUAGUAGGGAAAAGGUUCCUUCUUCUUGA